ACCCUUGAGCGGCGGGUGGGGGCCCUAAAUUGAACCAAUAGUUCCCCCACCCUAUUUUCAUUUAGGGCUCCCACCCGCCACUCAUGGGUGAUGAGUG
This is a non-coding RNA of Pelobates cultripes (western spadefoot toad), 97 nucleotides long. NCBI's taxonomy places the organism in Eukaryota, Metazoa, Chordata, Amphibia, Anura, Pelobatidae. The record is from the annotation of a GenBank genome assembly.